UAGGGAAUCUUCCGCAAUGGACGCAAGUCUGACGGAGCAACGCCGCGUGAGUGAAGAAGGAUUUCGGUUCGUAAAACUCUGUUGUUAGAGAAGAACAGCGCAUAGAGUAACUGUUAUGCGUGUGACGGUAUCUAACCAGAAAGCCACGGCUAACUACGUGCCAGCAGCCGCGGUAAUACGUAGGUGGCAAGCGUUGUCCGGAUUUAUUGGGCGUAAAGCGAGCGCAGGCGGUCAAUUAAGUCUGAUGUGAAAGCCCCCGGCUCAACCGGGGAGGGUCAUUGGAAACUGGUUGACUUGAGUGCAGAAGAGGAGAGUGGAAUUCCAUGUGUAGCGGUGAAAUGCGUAGAUAUAUGGAGGAACACCGGUGGCGAAAGCGGCUCUCUGGUAUGUAACUGACGCGGAGGCUCGAAAGCGUGGGGAGCGAACAGG
RNAcentral lists this ribosomal RNA (429 nucleotides) under Bacteroidota bacterium. RNAcentral describes it as "Bacteroidetes bacterium partial 16S ribosomal RNA". It matches the Rfam family "Bacterial small subunit ribosomal RNA", at positions 355 to 776 of the family's 1533-position model. Lineage: Bacteria; Pseudomonadati; Bacteroidota. The record is from RNAcentral.